This 497-nucleotide ribosomal RNA is filed under the name uncultured bacterium. Its description in RNAcentral is "partial 16S ribosomal RNA". It matches the Rfam family "Bacterial small subunit ribosomal RNA", at positions 28 to 507 of the family's 1533-position model. The record is from RNAcentral.
GAUGAACGCUGGCGGCGUGCCUAAUACAUGCAAGUCGAGCGAACGGACGAGAAGCUUGCUUCUCUGAUGUUAGCGGCGGACGGGUGAGUAACACGUGGAUAACCUACCUAUAAGACUGGGAUAACUUCGGGAAACCGGAGCUAAUACCGGAUAAUAUUUUGAACCGCAGGGUUCAAAAGUGAAAGACGGUCUGGCUGUCACUUAUAGAUGGAUCCGCGCUGCAUUAGCUAGGUGGUAAGGUAACGGCUUACCAAGGCAACGAUGCAUAGCCGACCUGAGAGGGUGAUCAGCCACACUGGAACUGAGACACGGUCCAGACUCCUACGGGAGGCAGCAGUAGGGAAUCUUCCGCAAUGGGCGAAAGCCUGACGGGGCAACGCCGCGUGAGUGAUGAAGGUCUUCGGAUCGUAAAACUCUGUUAUUAGGGAAGAACAUAUGUGUAAGUAACUGUGCCCAUCUUGACGGUACCUAAUCAGAAAGCCCCGGCUAACUACGUG